UGUAUGUACCCUUCGAAUAAGCAUCGGCUAAUUCCGUGCCAGCAGCCGCGGUAAUACGGAAGAUGCGAGCGUUAUCCGGAUUUACUGGGUGUAAAGGGUGCGUAGGUGGUAUGGCAAGUCAGAAGUGAAAACCCGGGGCUCAACCCCGUGGAUUGCUUUUGAAACUGUCAAACUAGAGUACCGGAGAGGUAAGCGGAAUUCCUGGUGUAGCGGUGAAAUGCGUAGAUAUCAGGAGGAACACCGGUGGCGAAGGCGGCUUACUGGACUGCAACUGACGUUCAGGCUCGAAAGCGUGGGGAGCAAACAGGAUUAGAUACCCUG
Molecule: ribosomal RNA, 321 nt
Filed under: uncultured bacterium
Lineage: Bacteria
Description: bacterial SSU rRNA
Rfam family: Bacterial small subunit ribosomal RNA
Source: RNAcentral